GUGGCGUACAGUGCGAUUUGGGGGCUGGCCGUCGCCAUCUUAAAUGUGGCAAUUAAGCCCCAAAUGAAACUAGGGGAUUCAGGAUGCUUUAAGUUGUUUCGCCCCAGCGGCCUUUAGUUAACUAGUGAGGUAAAUUUGAUGGCAUGGAGGUAGUUUUCUUUUGUUUGUUUGUUUUUUAACGUUUGUUUUAUAUCGUGAGACAUGUCUUAUCUAGCACAGGCUAGCCUUGAACUCCUCAUCUCCCUGUAUCUCCCAAGUGCAAGGAUUACAGAGAAAUACUAUAAGGUAUGUAUGUCUGCAUGAGAGUUCAGGUGCUCGAGAAGCCAGAGACAUCGGGUCCCAAGAGCUUCAGUUACAGCUGGUUAUGAAGUCACCUGAUAUGGGUGCUGUGAACUCAACACUAGUCCUCUGGAAGAGAAGUAUUUUGCUGUGUGUGUCUCUGUACCACUUGCCUGCUUGGUGCUCACAGAAGAGGCUGUCAGAUCCCCUAGAACCGGAGUUACAGAGGGUUGUAAGGCUUCAUAUUGAUGCUGGGAAUGGAACUGGGGUCAUUUGGAAGAGAAGCCAGUGUUCUUAACCACUAAGCCAUCUCUAUAGCCCCCAUUUCUGGUUUCUGGGAAUGAACUGGGGGUCCUUAAGCUUUCCUGGUUAGCACUCUUACCUACUGUACGGAAAAGGGGCCAGCCAAAGAAACACACCCUGAGCAGAGCCAAAGAAACACACUUUGGCCCUGCAACCAGAAACAAAGAAAUGUACCCUGACCCCAAACCAGUGCCAAAGAAACACACUUUGUCCCUGGAA
Non-coding RNA from Cricetulus griseus (Chinese hamster), 801 nucleotides. The record is from RefSeq and is a predicted model, not a curated record. NCBI's taxonomy places the organism in Eukaryota, Metazoa, Chordata, Mammalia, Rodentia, Cricetidae.